RNAcentral lists this ribosomal RNA (506 nucleotides) under uncultured bacterium. Its description in RNAcentral is "partial 16S ribosomal RNA". It matches the Rfam family "Bacterial small subunit ribosomal RNA", at positions 28 to 523 of the family's 1533-position model. The record is from RNAcentral.
GAUGAACGCUAGCUACAGGCUUAACACAUGCAAGUCGAGGGGUAACGAGAGGGAAGCUUGCUUUCCUUGUCGACGACCGGCGCACGGGUGAGUAACGCGUAUCCAACCUGCCCCCAACUAGGGAAUAACCUUGCGAAAGUAAGACUAAUACCCUAUAAUUUCCUCAGAUGUCAUCUGACGAGGAAUAAAGAUUUAUCGGUUGUGGAUGGGGAUGCGUCUGAUUAGCUUGUUGGCGGGGUAACGGCCCACCAAGGCAACGAUCAGUAGGGGUUCUGAGAGGAAGGUCCCCCACAUUGGAACUGAGACACGGUCCAAACUCCUACGGGAGGCAGCAGUGAGGAAUAUUGGUCAAUGGGCGGAAGCCUGAACCAGCCAAGUAGCGUGCAGGAUGACGGCCCUAUGGGUUGUAAACUGCUUUUAUACAGGAAUAAAGUUAGCCACGUGUGGUUAUUUGUAGGUACUGUAUGAAUAAGGACCGGCUAAUUCCGUGCCAGCCGCCGCCGUAA